This 218-nucleotide ribosomal RNA is filed under the name uncultured bacterium. Its description in RNAcentral is "partial 16S ribosomal RNA". It matches the Rfam family "Bacterial small subunit ribosomal RNA", at positions 57 to 305 of the family's 1533-position model. The record is from RNAcentral.
GCAAGUCGAGCGCACCUUCGGGUGAGCGGCGGACGGGUUAGUAACGCGUGGGAACAUACCCUUCUCUACGGAAUAGCCUCGGGAAACUGAGAGUAAUACCGUAUACGCCCUUCGGGGGAAAGAUUUAUCGGAGAUGGAUUGGCCCGCGUUAGAUUAGAUAGUUGGUGAGGUAACGGCUCACCAAGUCUACGAUCUAUAGCUGGUUUUAGAGGAUGAUC